Peromyscus maniculatus bairdii (prairie deer mouse) is the source of this 3324-nucleotide non-coding RNA. The record is from RefSeq and is a predicted model, not a curated record. NCBI's taxonomy places the organism in Eukaryota, Metazoa, Chordata, Mammalia, Rodentia, Cricetidae.
GGCAGGGGAGAGGGAACUGUGGUUGGUAUCUAAUGUGAAAAAAGAACUCUUAAAUUAAAAUAAAUAAACACAUAAAAUGAUAAAUUGUUGGUCAAAAUUCUUGUUCAGGUUAGAACCGGGUCUCCCGUGUACUUUCUCAAGAAGAAUGUAUCAAAGUUUUGUAUUCGUAGAUGAGUGAGAUAAAAAAGAAACAACACAAGGAUUAUUAUAUAGAACAUGAUUUUGUGAUUUUGUGUAUAAUCCAUUCUUCUUUUCAUCUCUCUGGAUAUUCCUGAGUUGCCCUUCCUUGUGGAUCACGAUGUCUACGGCGAGCCUAGGGUCUUGGGAGCACAGUGACCAGUGCUCAUCCAUCUGAAGGAUUGGCUUUUCUGUGCCUUAAACUCUGGGCCACACUCAUAAUUUCUACACUUCCUCUGGGUGUUUACAUGAAGACCCAAAUCCUGUGAUGAUGAUUGACACCGCGUUUCCUGGCUGGGAGGUCCGUGGUUGCCCUGUCCCCAUGUGUUGAGGAUCAAGGGAACUGAUUGCUCAUCCCUCAGAAGGAUUGGCUUCAGUCUGCUUUAAACACUGGGCCACAUUCAUAAUCUCUACACUUCCUCUCGGUGUUUACAUGAAGACCCAAAACUUGUGUGAGUAAUAUUCAAUAUUAUUGCUUGUUUUGCUCAGCAAAAUGCUCUGUGUUAUUAUAGAGUAUUGAAUGUAUCUGAGCAAGGGAUUUGUUAUUCGGAAGAACAAAAUAAUAUCAGAGGCACUUUUAUUGUGUCUGAAUUAAUGUGUUAAACAAAAAAAACAUACACACAUUACUAGAGAAGAAGAAGGCUAACAUAUACCGAUGAUGACUUGUUCUGACGAUAUUAGUCAUGGACGAUGACUACAAUUAAAAGUCUGAGGUUCACAUCACAAUACAUCCUAUGUGCCCCUCUUAGCUAGGGAAUAAAAGUCAGGCAUUUGGGGCACAUAGUGGUCAUUAGCAUCAUGCAUUUUCUUUGUUGUAUCAAUGAAAAAUUUUAUAAAUAUUUACACAAAUAUAAAUGAAGAUAAAUUUUUGAGGCAUUGAUCAACUAGUAAAUAAAUAUUUUACCACAAAUGCUACUAUUAUUUGUGGAUACUAUGAAAGUCUGUUAAAAAACAAUUGGCAUCAAGAUGUAUAUAAACUUUAUCCAAGUUCACAUAGGAAGUAUAAUUAGUGGGUUAAGCCCCAGUGAGGGUCAAGACCUUAAUUUUGAAUCUUACUGGAUUUCUUAAGACACUAUCAUAACAAUGUAAAAUCUAAAUAACAAAUGAUAAAAUGAUAAAUGUAGAAAUAAUUUGAAAAAUAUCAAUGUUUUUAUUACCUUCCCGGUUAUGUACUCCAUGGAUGUAUGCUGGGUAACACAUGAUUGCUGGGCUGCAAGAUCCUGGGUUGCCCUGCCCUCUUGCAUAUGGAUCAAGGGAACUGAAAAUGGAUUCCACACCCAAGCUGAUUUUCACACUCUGCCUUGGUCGUGAGCCUCAUAAUGAGCUGUUUCAGACAGUAAAAUAGACACAGUGUGAAUACAGUCUGCAUUUUGAUGUCACUUCAUGAUGCUUCAAAAGGCCAUUCACUGUAUUGAUAAGAGCAACCAUGGCAAAUACUGAAUGUGAAUGGAUACCUCCAAGCUGUUUUACGUAUUUUUCUUUGUCCUGAAUUUGAAGUUCACUGUUCAUGUAUAAAAGAUAAAGACUGUAAUGGAUAUCCAGCAAGCUGAUUUUAUGCUAUCUGAUUUGGAACUGAACCUCAUGAACUAGCCUCUGUGUUUGUAGGAUAGACAAUGUAAUUGGUAACCCAAGCUGAUGUAUAUAUUCUUCCUUGGUUGUGAGAUUCCUGCUCUGGUCAUUGUGGUCCUAAGACAGACACCAUUGUGUGUAGUCAAUGUUCAUGUCUUGGGUUUGGUUACUUCUAAAGACUACGUACACUAUUGUUGAACUACUGCUCUUCCUCUAGAAGAACAACCUUUUCCAAAUGAAUGAACACCCACAGGCUGAUGUACACACUCUUCCUUGGUUGUGAGCUUCUUGAUCAGCUCUUUGUGCUUGCAAUAUAGACAACGUAAUGGAGACCCACAGGCUGAUUUCUCCAUACAUCACUGGUCUUGAGCUUUGUCGUCAUGUCUUUGGGCUCAUAAUAUGGACAGAGUGAUGAAUUUCCCUCCAGACUUGAUUUACAUGUUCUCCUUUGGUUUGGGGCUUCCUGAUCAGCUCUUUGGGCUCGUUAUAAAGACACAGUAACAGAUACCCCCAAGCUGAUUUUACACGCAUUCCUUGGUCAUGAGCUUCUUGAUCUGCUGUUUGUGUUCAUAGGAUAGAUACAGUGGAUGGAUUUCCCCCAAAGUUGAUUUACAUAUUCUCCUUUGGUUGUGAUCUUCAUGAUUAGCUCUUUGGGUUCGUAAUAAUAGAUACAGUAAUAGAUGCCUUCAUCACUGAUCACCGGGUUCAUGGAGCAUAGGGACCAACCAUAGAUGCUUUCUGAAUGAUACUCAUCUUCUGGUCACCAAGUCCACAGUUACCCUAUGUGUCAGGAACAGAGAGACCAAUAAAUGCCAGCUCCAGAACAAUAAAUGGAUCCUGCCUGCUCCUGAGUUCUUAGGCUGCCUGUGUUUUUAGGAUCCCAGCUACAAUUGGAUCAGGGAACCCUCUGGAAGAGGAGGUGAAAAGAUUGUACGAACCUAUGCAAUGGAAGACACCAAGGAAGCAAGGCCUUCUAGAUACAACAGAACUGAUGCAGAUAUGAGCUCAUAGAGACUGUGGCAGCAUGCACAGGCCUGUACAGGUCUAAGCCAGAUGAGCUCCCAGCGCUAAGAGGGCAAGUGGACACAACCCCAUAUCCCUAAACCAGAAGCUAUCUGUAAUUGAUAACCUCUCCCAAAGGAAAAACUGUAUUUCUCCAAUGGAACCUCAGAUGUGUUGGCUCAGAUGGCCAACACAAAAUGAACUUGAUGGCAUUUUUGGAAGCUUUUGUGAUGUGCAAUGAUUUGCUGGGUAUUUUUUUUACCCUACGGACAUUUUGAUUAUCUAUUAUGGUUUCUGAUUUUAUUUUUGAAGAGUUUUCUAUGUAUGUGAAUGUAUGUGCCUCAGCAUCUGAAUUAGUUUCUUGUAAUUCUUCUGUUUUUUUUAUUUCUCCUCUUCCUCCCCAUCACUUUAGAUGCUUGUUUUAUUCUAAUGAAAGAAUGAAAGAAUGGGUAUGGAUUUUGUUGGGUGUGUAAAUGGGGAGGAUCUGGGAGGUGUUGGUGGAGAGGAUACUGUAAUAGAAAUAUAUUGUAUAAAAAUAAAUUUUCAAUAAAAAUGAUUUUUUUCUAUCACUAAAAA